Molecule: ribosomal RNA, 1373 nt
Filed under: uncultured bacterium
Lineage: Bacteria
Description: bacterial SSU rRNA
Rfam family: Bacterial small subunit ribosomal RNA
Source: RNAcentral
GAUGAACGCUGGCGGCGUGCCUAAUACAUGCAAGUCGAGCGAACGGACGAGAAGCUUGCUUCUCUGAUGUUAGCGGCGGACGGGUGAGUAACACGUGGAUAACCUACCUAUAAGACUGGGAUAACUUCGGGAAACCGGAGCUAAUACCGGAUAAUAUUUUGAACCGCAUGGUUCAAAAGUGAAAGACGGUCUUGCUGUCACUUAUAGGUGGAUCCGCGCUGCAUUAGCUAGUUGGUAAGGUAACGGCUUACCAAGGCAACGAUGCAUAGCCGACCUGAGAGGGUGAUCGGCCACACUGGAACUGAGACACGGUCCAGACUCCUACGGGAGGCAGCAGUAGGGAAUCUUCCGCAAUGGGCGAAAGCCUGACGGAGCAACGCCGCGUGAGUGAUGAAGGUCUUCGGAUCGUAAAACUCUGUUAUUAGGGAAGAACAUAUGUGUAAGUAACUGUGCACAUCUCGACGGUACCUAAUCAGAAAGCCACGGCUAACUACGUGCCAGCAGCCGCGGUAAUACGUAGGUGGCAAGCGUUAUCCGGAAUUAUUGGGCGUAAAGCGCGCGUAGGCGGUUUUUUAAGUCUGAUGUGAAAGCCCACGGCUCAACCGUGGAGGGUCAUUGGAAACUGGAAAACUUGAGUGCAGAAGAGGAAAAGUGGAAUUCCAUGUGUAGCGGUGAAAUGCGCAGAGAUAUGGAGGAACACCAGUGGCGAAGGCGACUUUCUGGUCUGUAACUGACGCUGAUGUGCGAAAGCGUGGGGAUCAAACAGGAUUAGAUACCCUGGUAGUCCACGCCGUAAACGAUGAGUGCUAAGUGUUAGGGGGUUUCCGCCCCUUAGUGCUGCAGCUAACGCAUUAAGCACUCCGCCUGGGGAGUACGACCGCAAGGUUGAAACUCAAAGGAAUUGACGGGGACCCGCACAAGCGGUGGAGCAUGUGGUUUAAUUCGAAGCAACGCGAAGAACCUUACCAAAUCUUGACAUCCUUUGACAACUCUAGAGAUAGAGCCUUCCCCUUCGGGGGACAAAGUGACAGGUGGUGCAUGGUUGUCGUCAGCUCGUGUCGUGAGAUGUUGGGUUAAGUCCCGCAACGAGCGCAACCCUUAAGCUUAGUUGCCAUCAUUAAGUUGGGCACUCUAAGUUGACUGCCGGUGACAAACCGGAGGAAGGUGGGGAUGACGUCAAAUCAUCAUGCCCCUUAUGAUUUGGGCUACACACGUGCUACAAUGGACAAUACAAAGGGCAGCGAAACCGCGAGGUCAAGCAAAUCCCAUAAAGUUGUUCUCAGUUCGGAUUGUAGUCUGCAACUCGACUACAUGAAGCUGGAAUCGCUAGUAAUCGUAGAUCAGCAUGCUACGGUGAAUACGUUCCCGGGUCU